RNAcentral lists this ribosomal RNA (513 nucleotides) under uncultured bacterium. RNAcentral describes it as "bacterial SSU rRNA". It matches the Rfam family "Bacterial small subunit ribosomal RNA", at positions 8 to 499 of the family's 1533-position model. The record is from RNAcentral.
AGGCUUUGAUCCUGGCUCAGGACUAACGCUGGCGGCGUGCCUAACACAUGCAAGUCGAACGAGUUGUUUAUAGUAGCAAUAUUGUAAACGGCGAGUGGCGAACGGGUGAGUAACACGUAGAUAAUCUGCCUUUCAGACGGGGACAACUCAGGGAAACUUGUGCUAAUACCCGAUGAGACUACGGGAGGGGACUUCUGUAGCCAAAGGUGGGGGUAACCUCACGCUGAGAGAUGAGUCUGCGUCCUAUCAGCUAGUUGGUGGGGUAAAAGCCUACCAAGGCGAAGACGGGUAGCCGGCCUGAGAGGGUGAACGGCCACACUGGGACUGAGACACGGCCCAGACUCCUACGGGAGGCAGCAGUGAGGAAUUUUCCGCAAUGGGCGCAAGCCUGACGGAGCGACGCCGCGUGAGGGAUGACGGCCUUCGGGUUGUAAACCUCUUUUAUAAGGGAAAAAGGUUACCGUGCUAAUACCACGGAUGAUUUGAUGGUACCUUUUGAAUAAGCCCCGGCGU